Molecule: transfer RNA, 69 nt
Filed under: Ictidomys tridecemlineatus (thirteen-lined ground squirrel)
Lineage: Eukaryota; Metazoa; Chordata; Mammalia; Rodentia; Sciuridae
Description: Spermophilus tridecemlineatus (thirteen-lined ground squirrel) tRNA
Rfam family: tRNA
About the family: Transfer RNA (tRNA) molecules are approximately 80 nucleotides in length. Their secondary structure includes four short double-helical elements and three loops (D, anti-codon, and T loops).
Source: Rfam by way of RNAcentral
GAGGUUGUGGCUCAGUGGUAGAGCACUAGCCUAGCACGCAAGGCACUGGGUUCAAUCCUCAGCACCUCA